GCUCAUCUGGAAUUUUUAGCGCCUUGAGGCUCGAGGGACAUCUUGACUGUUCCUCAUUCCAACUCUUGCUGGAUUACUUGUCCAAGACAGCAAAAUUCACUGGUUUCAGUCUGUGGUGUGAUGGAAGGCAGAUCCUAUCAGAAACAUCUCUAUGUCAUCUGGUUGGCCACGACACCUGCAGGUUCUCAGGUGGAGGUUCUCGUGUAGCCCCAGGGCUCUGUCACCACGGCUGGGAAAUGAGCGCGCAGUGAUUGACGCUUCCUGCCUGCAAACAUGGCUGCAAUAGUCAGAACCCAAGAUUUAAGGUCAGGCGGGAUGAAUCAUUUUCAGAGCCUGGCAGGCCUCCAAGUCACCCCCAUCCUGGAUAUUACCCUUCAUAAAGAGC
Centrocercus urophasianus (Greater sage-grouse) is the source of this 385-nucleotide long non-coding RNA. RefSeq lists it as uncharacterized. The transcript has 3 exons. The record is from RefSeq and is a predicted model, not a curated record. NCBI's taxonomy places the organism in Eukaryota, Metazoa, Chordata, Aves, Galliformes, Phasianidae.